Molecule: long non-coding RNA, 780 nt
Filed under: Eucalyptus grandis
Lineage: Eukaryota; Viridiplantae; Streptophyta; Magnoliopsida; Myrtales; Myrtaceae
Description: long non-coding RNA (EGRA_LNC001726)
Source: RNAcentral
UUGCUUUCGCCAUCGUCCUCUCUCUUCCCUCUGCUCCCUGCGAUCGAUCUCCCUUUUUUUUUUUUCUUUUCUUUUUCCCUCUCUUUUUUUCGAGGGUUUUCUUCCAUUUUCUUCUUUCCCCCCCUUUCUCCUCCUCCUCCUGCUCCAUCUCCUUGUUCCUUUUCUUUUCGAAUUUUCCUCUUCCUCUUCCUUUUUUCUUUUUUUCCCCUUCCUCCACCUCGUUUUUCGUUCGAUCUUCCUCUUCCUCUUCGCAUCUCCUGCGAACCCUAGGGGCUCGAAUUUUCAUUUUUAUUUUUGCUCGUGGGUCUUUUUUUUUUUUUUGGGGAUAAGAAGAUCAUCGGGGGGAUUCGGAGAGGAUGCAGCAGCAGAGGCUUCUCAAGCAGCACGCGAUGAUGCAGCAGUCGCUCUACCAUCACGGCCUCCUGGGUGCUCCGCAGGUAUUUUCUUGAUUUUCUUGAUUUUUGGGUGCUGGUGGGUUUCGUUUUGCUUUGAUUUUCUUGAUUUUUCGGUGCGGGGAGCUGGGCCCGAUGGGGCUGCGGCUGCGGCGAUGGCGCGGCAUUUUUGGGUUUUGCUUUGACGAUGAAUUCUUUGUGGAAUGAGUCUGGGAGUAGUAAUGCGCGGGGCGGGUGUGGUGAUUUGGGUUGUCGUUCUCUUUCGUCGGGUUGUUGAUCAAUUCGAGUUCUUGCUGCGCGAGAAGCUUCUGUAUAGUAGCCUGUUUUUGGUUGGAUGAUCGAAUUGCUUGUGGUGUCGGCCAGGAAAGACUAAUUCCUGUGAUGGGUG